UGAAUGCUACCCAACAUUAGAGAUAUCCCUUCUGUUCUGUUGGACAAUAGGCAGUUGACAGGCUCAAUCCAGUGACUUGCAUUUCACCAUCUGAAAAAGUUAGGGGAAAAAAAACUGGUAGUUAUCCUUUAGGGAGAAUUUUUCUCCUUCAUUUUUAUUAUUAUAUAUCUAAUUGAAACAUCAGGGGUAAUGUUGGGUUCAAAAUUCUUACAGGUCUGCUUGACUACUAAAUGUAUGCUUAGGUCUCAUAGCCAUAGGGGGUUG
RNAcentral lists this unclassified non-coding RNA (264 nucleotides) under Hevea brasiliensis (rubber tree). Lineage: Eukaryota; Viridiplantae; Streptophyta; Magnoliopsida; Malpighiales; Euphorbiaceae. The record is from RNAcentral.